CUAUAGCUGAAAGAGCUGGAAGAGAAGACUAAUAAAGAAGAACCUGGACCUGCCUCUCGGAGUCUCGUGUCGUCUUUCCCGCAGGGAGCGCUGGGGAGCUCAUAACUAAUAGACUUAAAAUUACACAAGUAACAGGUGGAAUGUCUCAACAGGCAGCAAAUACCAACUUCUGAGCUUGGAGUGAGUUUACAUAUCCAAAAUGACUGAUUUUGCCUGCAGGUAUAUGUCASGAUUAGUCAUCGCUUAAUGCGCCUCCUUAUGUGGCUUUCUGAGUAGGACAGAGAAGCCCAAUUGCAGAAGCCUGAGGAAGAGCUGGAACAGAAUUGAAAUCAUAUGAUUUGCAGGCCCGUCUCUGACAGAAAGAUCAUUCUGCCCCACACAGUGAAAGGAACUAUGAAAAAUCUGUCACUCCUGGGUUAAACAUUUCUCACAUGGCUAAAAGAACAAAAUAGUUGCAGUCAAGUUCUCUAACUCAGUAACUGCUGUUGUGUCUGGUUCAUAAUUUCUCUCCUUUCCUGUAUUAUAGCCCUUCUAGAGAAAGAGAUGACAGAGCCACCAGACUAUCUGGAGGCACUGCUGCAGUGCCUGCACAAAAGAACAAACAAACCACCAUUGAAUCAUAUGCCAGCUUUUGUAUUUGAUAUGCAUAACUUUACAUUUGUGUAUCUGUCAGUAUUUUGUUGUAUUUGCAUCCCUCUUUUUUAAUCUCAGAGGUGGGACAGCAACAGAGGUGGGAUGACAAAUCAUUUGUAUUAUUUGGGUAUCUAAAAUAUAUGCAAUUCUAUAAAGAAAGGAGGCUUAGUGGUGUUCCAAACCUCUGUGUUUCUUUCUGUUAAGGAACACAGAGGUUUGGAACACCACUAAGCCUCCUUUCCAUCUUCCUCCAUUUUCGAUCUUCCUGAGAUGGAAAUUCUCAGUGGGGUAGUUAGAAUAACAAACAAACUCAAUCUGAGUGUGUAUGUAGAAUUGUAGAAUUCAAGAAAAAGCUUUAUUUCCUACUUCCUCCUUAUAGGUCUAAAUAUAAGAUUUAAAACACUUAAGUGCUGUUUUUCGUAACAGUCGGAGAACACCAAGUUUUAUGGAAGACUUCCAUAUAUCUUGGGGUAGCUACAACAGAAUUUUUCUUAUAUUUGUGACAAGCCAAAACACUUAUUAAAUCUCAGCAAAAGGCCGUUUGUUUGUUUGUU
This is a long non-coding RNA of Malurus melanocephalus (red-backed fairy wren), 1187 nucleotides long. RefSeq lists it as uncharacterized. Lineage: Eukaryota; Metazoa; Chordata; Aves; Passeriformes; Maluridae. The transcript has 3 exons. The record is from RefSeq and is a predicted model, not a curated record.